AAGGGAGAAGUGCACUAGAUGGCGCGAGUGUCUUUGUUAAAGACGAAAUUUCGCCAUUUGCUUUUCUGCACUUUUCGAUAACGAUCGUUACGUACUCCAGUCAUGUUGCAGUCCUUUAUUUCCUGAAAUUCUUCGUCUUAAAAAUCGUAAAAAUCUACUUGCAAUUUCAUCGUAUGGCCCGAAAGGCCGAAACUGCUGUACAUUUUGCCAAAAUGUCGUCUCUUGCUGCAUGCAUGGAUGUACGUUUCCUGAGUCGUCACAUUCAGAAACACUUAAGAACAGUUACAGUUAUUUAGGAAAUCAUGUCCAUUGGACCAAAUCUUUUGAUUAUGUUGCAUGACGGAUGUCCAUUUUGCCAAAAUAUCAUCUCUUGCUGUAUGUCUCUUCCCAUGCUGAAGCACUCACUAACUGCAAAAGUAACUGUUGAUUACAUUUUAUUACCAGAAAAUUAGAUGUAGUUAAUUUAUGACCAGAAAAUACCCUUUAUCUGAUUGAAAGCCCCUUAUUGAUCUUGUAUAGAAUUUCAGAUAAGUUUACAUUGCAUAUGCUUUUACAAACAAGUAGGAAAAUCUUGACAGCGGAAGAAUCCAUGUAAAAUUUUCUCAUGAUUGAAGUCCAGUAGAGCUGUUGCAUGCAGUUUGUUGUGCUGGUGUUUUUACAUUCUCUAGUUAUUGAAGUCUUCACCAGAUUCAAUUCUUUACUACUCUUUGAUCUGGACAAACAAAAAAAAUUGUCCCUCUUGAAAGGUGAUCACCAUUUGAGCUUUAAUUAAGGACAAAUCUAGGAUUGAUUGAUCAGAGGUUAAUCCCUCACCGUUGUUUAAUGAAGGGAGUCAGCGGUGGUGUGGCUCUGCAGUACUAAGCCAAUCACAUGGCGCAAAAUGAAUUGUCCCUUACGACCAGACGAUGGAGCAGAUUGCCUUACCCAUUCCGUAAAUGUAUGUAUGUGAGUAUUUUACCAACAAAAGAAAAGUGCGCAUCUUCAACACGGCGGACGACCAGGGAUCGAAAAUGGCCGUCUUUUUUUUAAGGAGUCGACAUGUUUAACAAAAUGAAAUGUAGAAGAAAUUGCGCGAACAGCCGUUUCUCUUUUGGGUCAGCUCGCACAAGUCCAUCUGGAGUCAAAUCCUCUUCAGUUUGGCCGUCAUUAUCAACUUGGUUGUCGCCUUCUUUUACCCGAUUGACACUGACGGACCGGCUCCUGAUCCAUUAGCAUUUGAAACUGCUCUAGCAUUGCCACUUUGAAGCAAACGACCUUUGUUCCUUCUCUACGAGAGGCACCUUGUAGAGGAAUCUCGUGCUGGUGUAGGAAUCCCAACUCAACCGUCGUCUGCUUCACACCCAUGUUCGACACAGUUCGUCAAAUCAAACAUGUACUAAUGAAGAGGAGUAAUUCCAAACCACACUUGCACGGUGUUAGUUAGACCACAACCUUUUACCAGCCUCCAUAAAAGAAAGGAUUCACCAUUGGACUCUUUACUUUUUUCUAG
Daphnia pulicaria is the source of this 1489-nucleotide long non-coding RNA. RefSeq lists it as uncharacterized. The transcript has 5 exons. The record is from RefSeq and is a predicted model, not a curated record. NCBI's taxonomy places the organism in Eukaryota, Metazoa, Arthropoda, Branchiopoda, Diplostraca, Daphniidae.